UUCAGAGAUGAAAUUGCUGCAUAGGAAGUGCUGUCUGAUGUGAUAACUGAUGCUGGAUAAAGUUGCUCUGAGA
This 73-nucleotide small nucleolar RNA is filed under the name Salmo salar (Atlantic salmon). RNAcentral's name for it is "Small nucleolar RNA SNORD49 (ENSSSAG00020080502.1, ENSSSAG00070045693.1, ENSSSAG00075066788.1)". It matches the Rfam family "Small nucleolar RNA SNORD49". Rfam says of the family: U49 belongs to the C/D class of snoRNA which contain the C (UGAUGA) and D (CUGA) box motifs. Most of the members of the box C/D family function in directing site-specific 2'-O-methylation of substrate RNAs. The record is from Rfam by way of RNAcentral. Lineage: Eukaryota; Metazoa; Chordata; Actinopteri; Salmoniformes; Salmonidae.